Molecule: small nucleolar RNA, 132 nt
Organism: Artibeus jamaicensis (Jamaican fruit-eating bat)
Lineage: Eukaryota; Metazoa; Chordata; Mammalia; Chiroptera; Phyllostomidae
Product: U8 small nucleolar RNA
Exons: 1
Source: RefSeq, a predicted model, not a curated record
GCAUCAAGGAGGAUGAUCCUUACCUGUUCCUCCUUCUGGAGGCAGGUUGGAGCAAGACAAGUGGGGUUUGCAUGACUCGCAAUUAGCAUCUCUGUGUAAUCUGGAGUGGCUACACCCAAUGCACUCUUAGAA